This is a long non-coding RNA of Brienomyrus brachyistius, 1566 nucleotides long. RefSeq lists it as uncharacterized. The transcript has 3 exons. Lineage: Eukaryota; Metazoa; Chordata; Actinopteri; Osteoglossiformes; Mormyridae. The record is from RefSeq and is a predicted model, not a curated record.
GUCAGAAUAGGUUAUACAUUAUUGGCCAGUUAUUACAUUAUCAACCUUUAUUACUUUAAGAAUGUAAGAAUUACAUUAUUGGCAGUUACUACAUUACUGGCUUCUACAUGGUCCUCCAUUAUGCAAAAUCAGCUUUUUGUCGGCAUUAAUUACUAAAAAGCUUGAUUUACACCAGCAUGCAUGCAAUAAGAAUUUCAGUCUGUGACUGACAAUAAAGUUGUAUCGUAUCUUAACAUUUUAGUUUAGAAAUCAGCUCACUGAACCAGUAAGCAGCGUUUUAUAUGAAACUAGCCAUACCAUCAGUAUACCUAAAUCACUUAAAACCAUUAACUGACAUUCGUCAGUCAGCUCAAAAAUUCUCUACCCAGUGCACCGGUCCCUGUUUGACCCAAGUCCAGAAGUCUUUGCGAAAGCAGAUGAGUCUUCACAGUGUUAAAAAUUGCACCAAAAUCAAAUUAAAUCCAUGCAUAAGCCUUAGGCAGGAAAAUUACCAGGGCAGUGAAACCAGAGAGGAUAUUCAUAAUAAUUCUAGCUAAUAAUAAUGCUGAAGCUAAUUUAAAACUAGUAUAAAAUUGUAAAAAUUAACAACACUAUUAAAACACUAUAAGACACAACAGAUAACAAACAGCAUAAGACACCAGGUGAGCAACAGGCCACGCCCCCAGAGUCUCAGAUUAAAAGGUGAGCAAGAGGCCAAGCCCCCAGAUUGUCAGAUUAAAAGGUGAGCAACAGGCCACGUCCUCAGAAUGUCAGAUUAAAAGGUGAGCAGCAGGCCACGCUCCCAGGGUGUCAGAUUAAAAGGUGAGCAGCAGGCCACGCUCCCAGGGUGUCAGAUUAACAGGUGAGCAGCAGGCCACGCCCCCAGGGUGUCAGAUUAAAAGGUGAGCAGCAGGCCACGCUCCCAGGGUGUCAGAUUAAAAGGUGAGCAGCAGGCCACGCCCCCAGGGUGUCAGAUUAAAAGGUGAGCAGCAGGCCACGCUCCCAGGGUGUCAGAUUAAAAGGUGAGCAGCAGGCCACGCUCCCAGGGUGUCAGAUUAAAAGGUGAGCAGCAGGCCACGCUCCCAGGGUGUCAGAUUAAAAGGUGAGCAGCAAGCCACGCUCCCAGGGUUUCAGAUUAGAAGGUGACCCACAGUGAGUAGUGCUCACGCACCAUGUUGGAGGGAGUUUUGUCUUUUCAAACUAGCAGCCGCUAAACCCCCUUCACUGCUGGUUUCUCCCUUACUUUAAACAGCAAAUUACAAGCGAGUAUAGGGCUCUUGAAAAAAAUGUUGGUAACACUUUAUUUAAAAAUCCUAUAAAUGCAUUGUAGAUGUCUUCAUAAUGCAUUAUAAUGGUCAGUAUACCAAUUAAGGAUGCUCUGUACUGCAUUAUGAAGGUAUUAAUAGUGCAUUUUACAUGAGAGCUUCAUAGAAAAUUCAUAAUGAAUAAUAAACAUGUGUAGAAUGCGUUGUGACUUUUUAGAAAUAUUUAUUGCCAUGUUUAUAAUACGUUAUGAAUGUAUUAUAAUGCAUAAUGUGGGUACCUAUAAUGGUUUUAUAUGACUGCUUUAAGUGUUAACAAAAUGUU